RNAcentral lists this ribosomal RNA (484 nucleotides) under uncultured bacterium. RNAcentral's name for it is "partial 16S ribosomal RNA". It matches the Rfam family "Bacterial small subunit ribosomal RNA", at positions 30 to 507 of the family's 1533-position model. The record is from RNAcentral.
AUUGAACGCUGGCGGCAGGCCUAACACAUGCCAGUCGAGCGGAUGAAGGGAGCUUGCUCCUGGAUUCAGCGGCGGACGGGUGAGUAAUGCCUAGGAAUCUGCCUGGUAGUGGGAGAUAACGCCCGGAAACGGGCGCUAAUACCGCAUACGUCCUGAGGGAGAAAGUGGGGGAUCUUCGGGCCUCACGCUAUCAGAUGAGCCUAGGUCGGAUUAGCUAGUUGGUGGGGUAAAGGCCUACCAAGGCGACGAUCCGUAACUGGUCUGAGAGGAUGAUCAGUCACACUGGAACUGAGACACGGUCCAGACUCCUACGGGAGGCAGCAGUGGGGAAUAUUGGACAAUGGGCGAAAGCCUGAUCCAGCCAUGCCGCGUGUGUGAAGAAGGUCUUCGGAUUGUAAAGCACUUUAAGUUGGGAGGAAGGGCAGUAAGUUAAUACCUUGCUGUUUUGACGUUACCAACAGAAUAAGCACCGGCUAACUUCGUG